AACUCGGGUUAAGGAACUCUGCAAAUUGAUACCGUAACUUCGGAAGAAGGUAUGCCUUCGAUGGUGUAGGGAUUUACUCCCGAAGCUGUUGAAGGUCGCAGGUAAUCGGUGGCUGCGACUGUUUAUCAAAAACACAGUACUCUGCGAACACGCAAGUGGAAGUAUAGGGUCUGACGCCUGCCCGGUGCCGGAAGGUUAAUUGAUGGGGUUAGCCGCAAGGCGAAGCUCUUGAUCGAAGCCCCGGUAAACGGCUGCCGUAACAAUAACGGUCCUAAGGUAGCGAAAUUCCUUGUCGGGUAAGUUCCGACCUGCACGAAUGGCGUAACGCUGGCCACACUGUCUCGACCCGAGACUCAGUGAAGUUGAAAUCGCUGUGAAGAUGCGGCGUUCCCGCGGCAAGACGGAAAGACCCCGUGAACCUUCACUACAGCUUUACACUGAACUUUGAACCUUUCUGUGUAGGAUAGGUGGGAGGCUAUGAAACUUAGGCGCUAGCUCGAGUGGAGCCAACCUUGAAAUACCACCCUGGGAUGUUUGAAGUUCUAACCCUGGUCCGUAAUCCGGAUUGGGGACAGUGUAUGGUGGGUAGUUUGACUGGGGCGGUCUCCUCCCAAAGAGUAACGGAGGAGUGCAAUGGUACGCUCAGUGCGGUCGGUCAUCGCGCUCUAGAGUGCAAAGGCAUAAGCGUGCUUAACUGUGAGACAGACACGUCGAACAGGUACGAAAGUAGGUCUUAGUGAUCCGGUGGUUCUGUAUGGAAGGGCCAUCGCUCAACGGAUAAAAGGUACUCCGGGGAUAACAGGCUUAUUCCUCCCAAGAGUCCACAUCGACGGAGGAGUUUGGCACCUCGAUGUCGGCUCAUCACAUCCUGGGGCUGUAGCAGGUCCCAAGGGUAUGGCUGUUCGCCAUUUAAAGUGGUACGCGAGCUGGGUUCAGAACGUCGUGAGACAGUUCGGUCCCUAUCUGCCGUGGGCGUUGGAAACUUGAGGGUGAGCUGUCCUUAGUACGAGAGGACCGGGAUGGACGUAUCUCUGGUGUUCCGGUUGUCACGCCAGUGGCACUGCCGGGUAGCUAUAUACGGACGGGAUAAGCGCUGAAAGCAUCUAAGCGCGAAGCCCCCCCCAAGAUUAGGUUUCCCUGGGAACUCGAUUCCCCUAAAGAGCCGUCGGAGACUACGACGUUGAUAGGCUGGGUGUGUAAGUGCAGCAAUGCAUUGAGCUAACCAGUACUAAUUGCCCGUGAGGCUUGACC
This 1251-nucleotide ribosomal RNA is filed under the name metagenome. RNAcentral's name for it is "bacterial LSU rRNA". It matches the Rfam family "Bacterial large subunit ribosomal RNA", at positions 1697 to 2925 of the family's 2925-position model. The record is from RNAcentral.